RNAcentral lists this ribosomal RNA (617 nucleotides) under [Borrelia] chilensis. RNAcentral describes it as "bacterial SSU rRNA". It matches the Rfam family "Bacterial small subunit ribosomal RNA", at positions 107 to 710 of the family's 1533-position model. The record is from RNAcentral. Lineage: Bacteria; Pseudomonadati; Spirochaetota; Spirochaetia; Spirochaetales; Borreliaceae.
UGAGUAACGCGUGGAUGAUCUACCUAUGAGAUGGGGAUAACUAUUAGAAAUAGUAGCUAAUACCGAAUAAGGUCAAUUAAUUUGUUAAUUGAUGAAAGGAAGCCUUUAAAGCUUCGCUUGUAGAUGAGUCUGCGUCUUAUUAGCUAGUUGGUAGGGUAAAUGCCUACCAAGGCGAUGAUAAGUAACCGGCCUGAGAGGGUGAACGGUCACACUGGAACUGAGAUACGGUCCAGACUCCUACGGGAGGCAGCAGCUAAGAAUCUUCCGCAAUGGGCGAAAGCCUGACGGAGCGACACUGCGUGAAUGAAGAAGGUCGAAAGAUUGUAAAAUUCUUUUAUAAAUGAGGAAUAAGCUUUGCAGGAAAUGGUAAAGUGAUGACGUUAAUUUAUGAAUAAGCCCCGGCUAAUUACGUGCCAGCAGCCGCGGUAAUACGUAAGGGGCGAGCGUUGUUCGGGAUUAUUGGGCGUAAAGGGUGAGUAGGCGGAUAUAUAAGUCUAUGCGUAAAAUACCACAGCUCAACUGUGGAACUAUGUUGGAAACUGUAUGUCUAGAGUCUGAUAGAGGAAGUUAGAAUUCCUGGUGUAAGGGUGGAAUCUGUUGAUAUCAGGAAGAAUACC